This 466-nucleotide ribosomal RNA is filed under the name uncultured bacterium. RNAcentral's name for it is "partial 16S ribosomal RNA". It matches the Rfam family "Bacterial small subunit ribosomal RNA", at positions 28 to 507 of the family's 1533-position model. The record is from RNAcentral.
GACGAACGCUGGCGGCGUGCUUAACACAUGCAAGUCGAACGGUAAGGCCCCAGCUUGCUGUGGUACACGAGUGGCGAACGGGUGAGUAACACGUGGGUGACCUGCCCUGCACUUCGGGAUAAGCCUGGGAAACUGGGUCUAAUACCGGAUAGGACCCUGGUGUGGGUGUUGUGGUGGAAAGUUUUUGCGGUGUGGGAUGGGCUCGCGGCCUAUCAGCUUGUUGGUGGGGUAAUGGCCUACCAAGGCGUCGACGGGUAGCCGGCCUGAGAGGGUGGACGGCCACAUUGGGACUGAGACACGGCCCAGACUCCUACGGGAGGCAGCAGUGGGGAAUAUUGCACAAUGGGCGGAAGCCUGAUGCAGCGACGCCGCGUGGGGGAUGACGGCCUUCGGGUUGUAAACUCCUUUCGCCAUCGACGAAGGGUUUCUGACGGUAGAUGGAGAAGAAGCACCGGCUAACUACGUG